RNAcentral lists this small RNA (1791 nucleotides) under Arabidopsis thaliana (thale cress). Its description in RNAcentral is "ATSL094980". The record is from RNAcentral. Lineage: Eukaryota; Viridiplantae; Streptophyta; Magnoliopsida; Brassicales; Brassicaceae.
UUUAAAAUACAUAAAAUUUUAACUAUUUUGAGUAUUUUCAUACAUAAUAAUAUAAAAAUAUCAUAAUUCAAUAAACUAUUUCAAGAGAUAUAAUAUAUUAAUGUAUACAUUCUUUUUUCAUUUUAUAUCUAUGAAUUAUUUGUUAUGUUAUGGAAAAAUCAAAAUACUAGAUAUUAAUUGUUUUUACUAUUGUAUUUUAUUUAAAAAAAUUAAAUACUUCAAUAAUUAUCACAAUAAAUCUAUUUACUAUAUUUAUAAAUAAAAUUGUAAUUAAUAUUAUAUAAUAAGAUCCGUAAUAAUUGAUCCGCUUUCACCAUUCAACAUUUAUUUGGAACCGCUUGAUCCGCUCUUGUUCCGCUAGAACCGUUUGAUCCAAUUGAUAGAUCAUAUGGAUGAAGAUUGUGAUAGAGCAUAUGGAUGAACCAUAACAUGCAAUCCGACCAUCAAAUCAUUUACGAAUUGUUUCAUUUACUCUUCUCGAGACACAAAACAAACAUCAAAUCAAGUUAAUUAACAACAAUCUCUUUUUCUAUUGUAGAUGAAGAAGAAUUUAUGAUGAUACUUCUCUGUCGAAAAGCAAAAAAAAAACAGAAAACAAGGUAAAAUUGUCGAAACUGUUGGAGAUCUUUUUUGCUAUGCUAUCUUAUUUGAAAUGGCAGUCAAGUGUAUUUAUAACGGGUUUUCUAAUUCAAACACCAUGGUCUCGGGAUGAGGGUAGUUCCUAAAAACUCAUUGCGCUUCAGCAGCUUGUAGUACUCGUUUCGAGUUGCACACUUCUCUGAUUCCAAAUCAUCACCACCUCCUCUCUCUGUUUGAUCAGCUUCCUCUCGUGAAGCCAUUUCUUCCUCAGAGUCUUCAUCUACAAGUUCCAACCUCCUCCCCACGGGCUUUUUUCCUCGAGUGAUGUCUGCCUUGUUCCUUGAGAAUUCUCUUGCAGAGGACUUACUCGACCUUCGGGAUCGAGUAUUUCCAGCGGGAGGGCUGAAAGUUUCUUCUUCUUCCAUCACUUCCUCCUCUUGGCUUGAUUCGCUAUGAUCGAUCUCGAAACUUGCUUGUUCUCUCCUUCUCGACCCCUUAGGUGAUGGUUCAGAAAGUCCUCGAGCUGCUGCAUGCGAAGAAGGUGUUGGGUACCUCUUCGAUGGGGAGAGAGUUCUGUUCCGGAUCCUUGACAGGAGCGCGCGCCUGUUUGUCAUUGAGAAAGAGAGACUCAAAGGUUAAGAGAUCGAGUGAUGAAGAAAAUAGAUGUAUUAUGUUGAGUUUUUGAUAGAAAGCGGAAGUGCAAGAAAAAGAGAUAGAGAGAGAGAUAUAAGAAUUCGAGAUUGCUUUGGUAUGAGAGGUGGAGAGAUGAGGUUGUUGAGUUCGGGAAUUGCAAUGGGGGGACCAAAGCAACUAUGGGGGGUUAAGAAGACAAAGAGACAACAUCGUUUCAAUGGAGGCGGGUCACGAGGCGUCGGAGUCCAGAAGGUGGUCUCUUUGGUUUCUUCACUUGAUCGGACAGUGGAGAAUGCUUCGCUUUUAAUCACUCGAUCAAACGGACCAGAAUAAACCUCAAGAAGUCACUCGAUCAAACGGUAGUGAUGCUUCUCUCAUUUGGUCAUUCAAAUCACCGGCUUAAAGCUCUCUUCCGCACUUUACUCGAUCAACGGUUGAGAUGAUUGUUGACUUGUUUUGAAUUUACUCGACUGUUGACUUCCUUAGGGUCAAUAAAACAAACCUGAAACACUUAAACAAAAACAUCAAAAAUAACAAAAAAGAUAGAAAGUUAUAUACAUGGAUAGACAUGGGACUUCC